This 236-nucleotide unclassified non-coding RNA is filed under the name Rhodotorula sp. RNAcentral's name for it is "partial contains 5.8S ribosomal RNA, internal transcribed spacer 2, and large subunit ribosomal RNA". The stretch from base 1 to 52 matches the Rfam family "5.8S ribosomal RNA", at positions 103 to 154 of the family's 154-position model. Lineage: Eukaryota; Fungi; Basidiomycota; Microbotryomycetes; Sporidiobolales; Sporidiobolaceae. The record is from RNAcentral.
AACGCACAUUGCGCCCCUUGGUAUUCCGAGGGGCAUGCCUGUUCGAGCGUCAUUAUAACCACUCAAGCCUAGCUUGGUAUUGGGGUUCGCGUGCUCGCGGCCCUUAAAAUCAGUGGCGGUGCCGUCUGGCUCUAAGCGUAGUAAUUCUCUCGCUAUAGCGUCCCGGCGGUUACCUGCCAGAACCCCCCACUUUUAAGGUUGACCUCGGAUCAGGUAGGGAUACCCGCUGAACUUAA